AGACUGUGGGGGUGUGGGCAAUAUGGCCCAUAUCUGGUGGUUCUGCCCUAAAUUAACUAAAUAUUGGAAAAUGAUUCAUGAUCUAAUUAUUAAAGUGGACAGAACCAUUAGCAUUUUAACUUCGGAACUAGCCUUAUUUAAAAAACUCCCGGAGUCCGUUAAUAGAGCAGAUAAAAUAAUCAUAGGCCACAUUCUGAUCGCUGCUACAUCC
Pelobates cultripes (western spadefoot toad) is the source of this 211-nucleotide non-coding RNA. The record is from the annotation of a GenBank genome assembly. Lineage: Eukaryota; Metazoa; Chordata; Amphibia; Anura; Pelobatidae.